CCUACGGGUGGCAGCAGUGAGGAAUAUUGGUCAAUGGCCGAGAGGCUGAACCAGCCAAGUCGCGUGAGGGAUGACGGCCCUACGGGUUGUAAACCUCUUUUGUCGGGGAGCAAAGAGAGCCACGUGUGGCUCUUUGAGAGUACCUGAAGAAAAAGCAUCGGCUAACUCCGUGCCAGCAGCCGCGGUAAUACGGAGGAUGCGAGCGUUAUCCGGAUUUAUUGGGUUUAAAGGGUGCGCAGGCGGAAGGGCAAGUCAGCGGUCAAAUUUCGGGGCUCAACCCCGUCCUGCCGUUGAAACUGCAGCCCUUGAGUGCGCGAGAAGUAUGCGGAAUGCGUGGUGUAGCGGUGAAAUGCAUAGAUAUCACGCAGAACUCCGAUUGCGAAGGCAGCAUACCGGCGCUCAACUGACGCUCAUGCACGAAAGCGUGGGUAUCGAACAGGAUUAGAUACCCGAGUAGUC
RNAcentral lists this ribosomal RNA (459 nucleotides) under uncultured bacterium. RNAcentral's name for it is "partial 16S ribosomal RNA". It matches the Rfam family "Bacterial small subunit ribosomal RNA", at positions 338 to 795 of the family's 1533-position model. The record is from RNAcentral.